This 484-nucleotide ribosomal RNA is filed under the name uncultured bacterium. RNAcentral's name for it is "partial 16S ribosomal RNA". It matches the Rfam family "Bacterial small subunit ribosomal RNA", at positions 30 to 507 of the family's 1533-position model. The record is from RNAcentral.
AUUGAACGCUGGCGGCAGGCCUAACACAUGCAAGUCGAGCGGAUGAAGGGAGCUUGCUCCUGGAUUCAGCGGCGGACGGGUGAGUAAUGCCUAGGAAUCUGCCUGGUAGUGGGGGAUAACGUCCGGACACGGGCGCUAAUACCGCAUACGUCCUGAGGGAGAAAGUGGGGGAUCUUCGGACAUAGCGCGAUCAGAUGAGCCUAGGUCGGAUUAGCUAGUUGGUGAGGUAAAGGCCUACCAAGGCGACGAUCCGUAACUGGUCUGAGAGGAUGAUCAGUCACACUGGAACUGAGACACGGUCCAGACUCCUACGGGAGGCAGCAGUGGGGAAUAUUGGACAAUGGGCGAAAGCCUGACGCAGCCAUGCCGCGUGUGUGAAGAAGGUCUUCGGAUUGUAAAGCACUGUUAGUUGGGAGGAAGGGCAGUAAGUUAAUCCCUUGCUGUUUUGACGUUACCAACAGAAUAAGCACCGGCUAACUUCGUG